GAUGAACGCUGGCGGCGUGCCUAAUACAUGCAAGUCGAGCGAACGGACGAGAAGCCUGCUUCUCUGAUGUUAGCGGCGGACGGGUGAGUAACACGUGGAUAACCUACCUAUAAGACUGGGAUAACUUCGGGAAACCGGAGCUAAUACCGGAUAAUAUUUUGAACCGCAUGGUUCAAAAGUGAAAGACGGUCUUGCUGUCACUUAUAGAUGGAUCCGCGCUGCAUUAGCUAGUUGGUAAGGUAACGGCUUACCAAGGCAACGAUGCAUAGCCGACCUGAGAGGGUGAUCGGCCACACUGGAACUGAGACACGGUCCAGACUCCUACGGGAGGCAGCAGUAGGGAAUCUUCCGCAAUGGGCGAAAGCCUGACGGAGCAACCCCGCGUGAGUGAUGAAGGUCUUCCGAUCGUAAGACUCUGUUAUUAGGGAAGAACAUAUGUGUAAGUAACUGUGCACAUCUUGGCGGUACCUAAUCAGAAAGCCACGGCUAACUACGUGCCAGCAGCCGCGGUAAUACGUAAGUGGCAAGCGUUAUCCGGAAUUAUUGGGCGUAAAGCGCGCGUAGGCGGUUUUGCAGACCGAUGUGAAAUCCCCGGGCUUAACCUGGGAACUGCAUUGGUGACUGCAAGGCUAGAGUGUGUCAGAGGGAGGUGGAAUUCCGCAUGUAGCAGUGAAAUGCGUAGAUAUGCGGAGGAACACCGAUGGCGAAGGCAGCCUCCUGGGAUAACACUGACGCUCAUGCACGAAAGCGUGGGGAGCAAACAGGAUUAGAUACCCUGGUAGUCCACGCCCUAAACGAUGUCUACUAGUUGUCGGGGAUUAAUUUCCUUGGUAACGCAGCUAACGCGUGAAGUAGACCGCCUGGGGAGUACGGUCGCAAGAUUAAAACUCAAAGGAAUUGACGGGGACCCGCACAAGCGGUGGAUGAUGUGGAUUAAUUCGAUGCAACGCGAAAAACCUUACCUACGCUUGACAUGUCCGGAACCCUGAAGAGAUUUGGGGGUGCUCGAAAGAGAGCCGGAACACAGGUGCUGCAUGGCUGUCGUCAGCUCGUGUCGUGAGAUGUUGGGUUAAGUCCCGCAACGAGCGCAACCCUUAAGCUUAGUUGCCAUCAUUAAGUUGGGCACUCUAAGUUGACUGCCGGUGACAAACCGGAGGAAGGUGGGGAUGACGUCAAAUCAUCAUGCCCCUUAUGAUUUGGGCUACACACGUGCUACAAUGGACAAUACAAAGGGCAGCGAAACCGCGAGGUCAAGCAAAUCCCAUAAAGUUGUUCUCAGUUCGGAUUGUAGUCUGCAACUCGACUACAUGAAGCUGGAAUCGCUAGUAAUCGUAGAUCAGCAUGCUACGGAGAAUACGUUCCCGGGUCU
RNAcentral lists this ribosomal RNA (1369 nucleotides) under uncultured bacterium. RNAcentral describes it as "partial 16S ribosomal RNA". It matches the Rfam family "Bacterial small subunit ribosomal RNA", at positions 28 to 1381 of the family's 1533-position model. The record is from RNAcentral.